Molecule: long non-coding RNA, 670 nt
Filed under: Capsicum annuum
Lineage: Eukaryota; Viridiplantae; Streptophyta; Magnoliopsida; Solanales; Solanaceae
Description: long non-coding RNA (CANN_LNC007107)
Source: RNAcentral
CGGGAAUCUACUAUCAAUGAUAAGAAAAGAUCAUGUCCGAAUCUGACAAAAAGAAUACUCAACUAAAUCUGAGACUAAGAUCAAGCCUAUCUGACGGGUGACCUCUAGAUCUGAUCACAAGAAUACUCAACUGAAUCUGAGAGUGAGAUCAAGCCUAUCUGAUGGGUGAUCUCUAGAUCUGAUCACAAGAACACUCAACUGAAUCUGAGAGUGAGAUCAAGCCUAUCUGACAGGUGAUAUCUAGAUCUGAUAAUAAGAAUACUCAACUGAAUCUGAGACUGAGAUCAAUCCUAUCUAACUUGCGAUUUCUAGAUCUGAUAACAAGAAUACUGAAUUGAAUCUGAGACUGAGAUCAAGCCUAUCUGACGGAUGAUCUAUAGAUUUGAUAACAAGAAUACUCAACUAAAUCUAGGAUUGAGAUCAAGCUUAUCUGAUAGGUGAUCUCUAGAUCUGAUAACAAGAAUACUCAACUAAAUCUAAGACUGAGAUCAAACCUAUCUGACGGGUAAUCUCUAGAUCUGAUAAAAAAAAUACUCAACUAAUCGGGGACUGAGAUCAAGCCUAUUUGAUGGGUCAUCUCCUAAUAUAAUAUUGAAUAACUUUAUAUGAGACUAAGCCUAUCUGAUGGGUGGUCCAUGAAUCAAUGGAACUAUCUGAGUUCCUCACUGAG